Molecule: ribosomal RNA, 440 nt
Filed under: uncultured bacterium
Lineage: Bacteria
Description: bacterial SSU rRNA
Rfam family: Bacterial small subunit ribosomal RNA
Source: RNAcentral
CCUACGGGUGGCUGCAGUAACGAAUCUUCCGCAAUGUACGCAAGUAUGACGGAGCGACGCCGCGUGUGGGAUGAAGCCCCUUGGGGUGUAAACCACUGUCAGGGGUUAGAAAGUUCUGAUCGACCCCAGAGGAAGGCACGGCUAACUCUGUGCCAGCAGCCGCGGUAAUACAGAGGUGCCAAGCGUUAGGCGGAAUCACUGGGCUUAAAGCGUGUGUAGGUGGAUGUCUAAGUACCUUGUGAAAUCCCACAGCUCAACUGUGGAACUGCUUGGUAUACUGGACAUCUUGAGCUGUCUAGGGGUUACCGGAACAAAUGGUGGAGCGGUGAAAUGCGUAGAUAUCAUUUGGAACGCCAAUGGUGAAAACAGGUAACUGGGGACAUGCUGACACUGAGACACGAAAGCCAGGGGAGCAAACGGGAUUAGAUACCCCAGUAGUC